GCGCGAGUGGCUCAGGGGUGGAGUACAACCUUGCCAAGGUUGGGGUCGCGGGUUCGAAUCCCGUCUCGCGCUCUA
Molecule: transfer RNA, 75 nt
Filed under: Blautia sp. CAG:37_48_57
Lineage: Bacteria; Bacillati; Bacillota; Clostridia; Lachnospirales; Lachnospiraceae
Also listed under: 9 other names
Description: tRNA-Gly
Rfam family: tRNA
About the family: Transfer RNA (tRNA) molecules are approximately 80 nucleotides in length. Their secondary structure includes four short double-helical elements and three loops (D, anti-codon, and T loops).
Source: RNAcentral